UUUAUUAUAGGCCUAGUUUAUUCGUAUUCAUAAUCAUCAUUAUCGUUACCAUUAUUUAAUUAUUUUCAUCGUUUUUCAUAAAUUAUAAUUAGGCCUGUCUGUACCUACAUAAAACACAUACUAUAACAGAGUUACAGAACGUUCCUGAAUUUUGUAAAAUUUGGCCAAAACCUGCUUUUUAGAUGUAAAAUUAAGUAUAUUUUUAUGCAUAUAGUAUAAGAAUUUUAAAAGUAUAUAUUUCUUUGCGAUUCAAUAGUGUAAUAAUUAGCUCAUUUGUUAGUAUUUUAUGACUUUGAAAAUAAGAAAAUUAAUUUUAAAAAAUAUGUGUUUUGCCCUAUAACAGGAUUUUCAGGUAAUACAUAUUUUACUGGUAAUAUUUGGAGGAAAUAUUCCUUUACAGCUAAUAUAUUUAUAUAUUUUUUUUGAAAUAGCUUUUUUUCUGAUAUUUUGUGGGGGAAAUAUUUCAUUAUAGCGAAUGAUAACGUGAGUUUUCCGAACAGUUUGGUACCAAAAUAAACUUUCUAUGACUAAUCGUAUCCACAAUACAGAGUGUUAGUCUUUUUCCCAAAAAUUGAUGUUUUUGCAUUAAUGCGACACUUUUGCCUUUAGAUUAAAGAAUUUUGCUUGGGUUCUACCAGAUUCAUUAUCAGCAAAGGACAAGUACCCUAAAUCAAGUGGAUCCUAGCUUCUGCCUAAAAAUACCCAUUGAUUCUUUACAGAGAACGAUUUUAAAAAACUGAACCUUUCUAUAGUGUCACAAGUUUAAUAUGCUACCAAGCAAUUUAUAAUAUUUAUUCUCAUGUUGUAGUGAAUUAAAAAACAUCUAAGAUAACAAUUUUGUUUCUUCUUUAAAGGGUUGGUAACAUGUUUAAAAUGCAAAGAGAUAAGCAUGGAUAAUGAAAACCGGACAGAAUACAAUUUGAAAAAUAAAGCAAAUGAUAAACCUACUAGAGAGCCAUUCAUGGAAAAUGAAAACCGGACAGAAUACAAAUUGAAAAAUAAAGCAAAUGAUAAACCUACUAGAGAGCCAUUAAUGUAGAGGGCCUCCUUUAUGCUGAUCUGGAUUUGAGGUUGUUCUCCCAUCGUCAUGGUUCUAAUCAUGGAAUCACUCACACUGAAGAGGACACCAUAUAUUCCAGUAUCGUUGGUCAAAUUACAAUAGAAAAAAAAUAGAUUUGACAAUGACAAUUUAAGCGUUUUGAGGUACUUGUCUAAUGUGUUAUAACUUAUUGAAUUCCAAAAUGUAAGGUUGAUUUUUUGUUUAUAAGAAUGAACAACAUAAAUAAUAGAAUUCAAUUUGUAUAAACUGUACUCAGAUACUUUUAUUAGUCUAAAUAUAACACACCUCAAUAACUUUCAUAUUUGUUUUCGUACCAAUAACAAUUAUUUGGAUACUAGACCUGUUAAAGGACGUUAAAAUUUAAAAUUAAUGUGUAGGAACUUUUAAAUGAGGUUAAAAUUUAAAAUUAAUGUGUAGGAACUUUUAAAGUUCAGUUUAUCUGUGUAACUGCUCGAUCCCCUAACAAACUGUAUAUGUUGUAAAUAAUACCAUAAUGUUACUAAUA
RNAcentral lists this long non-coding RNA (1565 nucleotides) under Anneissia japonica. RNAcentral describes it as "uncharacterized LOC117100141". Lineage: Eukaryota; Metazoa; Echinodermata; Crinoidea; Comatulida; Comatulidae. The record is from RNAcentral.